Molecule: unclassified non-coding RNA, 329 nt
Filed under: uncultured Solicoccozyma
Lineage: Eukaryota; Fungi; Basidiomycota; Tremellomycetes; Filobasidiales; Piskurozymaceae
Description: sequence contains ITS2
Rfam family: 5.8S ribosomal RNA (bases 1-52)
Source: RNAcentral
AACGCACCUUGCGCUCUUUGGUAUUCCGAAGAGCAUGCCUGUUUGAGUGUCAUGAAAAUAUCAACCUUGACUUGGGUUUAGUGCUCUUGUCUUGGCUUGGAUUUGGCUGUUUGCCGCUCGAAAGAGUCGGCUCAGCUUAAAAGUAUUAGCUGGAUCUGUCUUUGAGACUUGGUUUGACUUGGCGUAAUAAGUUAUUUCGCUGAGGACAAUCUUCGGAUUGGCCGAGUUUCUGGGACGUUUGUCCGCUUUCUAAUACAAGUUCUAGCUCGCUAGACAUGACUUUUUUAUUAUCUGGCCUCAAAUCAGGUAGGACUACCCGCUGAACUUAA